CGAAAAGAUAUGAAUAAGAAGAGUAGCGAUUGUGCGUGCUUGCUAGAGAGUCGGUGUAUGGUGGGAACCGAUACACGGCAGUCGUGAAUGGACUUAUGGAAGCUGUUUUUUCUAAUGAAAAACAGACGUGUGCUCGCGUUAAGGGCAGUGUGAAAACACAUAAAGUGGGAGUGCUGCGGCGCUUCAAUUUGAGGUGGCAACGCGGUUAUCGAUCGUCCUCUGC
This 223-nucleotide non-coding RNA is filed under the name Sporosarcina newyorkensis. RNAcentral's name for it is "T-box sequence". It matches the Rfam family "T-box leader". Rfam says of the family: Uncharged tRNA acts as the effector for transcription antitermination of genes in the T-box leader family. Lineage: Bacteria; Bacillati; Bacillota; Bacilli; Caryophanales; Caryophanaceae. The record is from RNAcentral.